RNAcentral lists this ribosomal RNA (2641 nucleotides) under Klebsiella pneumoniae. Its description in RNAcentral is "bacterial LSU rRNA". It matches the Rfam family "Bacterial large subunit ribosomal RNA", at positions 296 to 2925 of the family's 2925-position model. The record is from RNAcentral. Lineage: Bacteria; Pseudomonadati; Pseudomonadota; Gammaproteobacteria; Enterobacterales; Enterobacteriaceae.
AGCAGCCCAGAGUCUGAAUCAGCUUGUGUGUUAGUGGAACGGUCUGGAAAGUCCGACGGUACAGGGUGAUAGUCCCGUACACCAAAAUGCACAGGUUGUGAACUCGAAGAGUAGGGCGGGACACGUGGUAUCCUGUCUGAAUAUGGGGGGACCAUCCUCCAAGGCUAAAUACUCCUGACUGACCGAUAGUGAACCAGUACCGUGAGGGAAAGGCGAAAAGAACCCCGGCGAGGGGAGUGAAAAAGAACCUGAAACCGUGUACGUACAAGCAGUGGGAGCACCUUCGGGUGUGACUGCGUACCUUUUGUAUAAUGGGUCAGCGACUUAUAUUCUGUAGCAAGGUUAACCGUAUAGGGGAGCCGCAGGGAAACCGAGUCUUAACUGGGCGUUAAGUUGCAGGGUAUAGACCCGAAACCCGGUGAUCUAGCCAUGGGCAGGUUGAAGGUUGGGUAACACUAACUGGAGGACCGAACCGACUAAUGUUGAAAAAUUAGCGGAUGACUUGUGGCUGGGGGUGAAAGGCCAAUCAAACCGGGAGAUAGCUGGUUCUCCCCGAAAGCUAUUUAGGUAGCGCCUCGUGAAUUCAUCUUCGGGGGUAGAGCACUGUUUCGGCUAGGGGGUCAUCCCGACUUACCAACCCGAUGCAAACUACGAAUACCGAAGAAUGUUAUCACGGGAGACACACGGCGGGUGCUAACGUCCGUCGUGAAGAGGGAAACAACCCAGACCGCCAGCUAAGGUCCCAAAGUCAUGGUUAAGUGGGAAACGAUGUGGGAAGGCACAGACAGCCAGGAUGUUGGCUUAGAAGCAGCCAUCAUUUAAAGAAAGCGUAAUAGCUCACUGGUCGAGUCGGCCUGCGCGGAAGAUGUAACGGGGCUAAACCAUGCACCGAAGCUGCGGCAGCGACACUAUGUGUUGUUGGGUAGGGGAGCGUUCUGUAAGCCUGCGAAGGUGACCUGUGAGGGUUGCUGGAGGUAUCAGAAGUGCGAAUGCUGACAUAAGUAACGAUAAAGCGGGUGAAAAGCCCGCUCGCCGGAAGACCAAGGGUUCCUGUCCAACGUUAAUCGGGGCAGGGUGAGUCGACCCCUAAGGCGAGGCCGAAAGGCGUAGUCGAUGGGAAACAGGUUAAUAUUCCUGUACUUGGUGUUACUGCGAAGGGGGGACGGAGAAGGCUAUGUUAGCCGGGCGACGGUUGUCCCGGUUUAAGCAUGUAGGCUGGUUAUCCAGGCAAAUCCGGAUAAUCAAGGCUGAGGUGUGAUGACGAGGCACUACGGUGCUGAAGUAACAAAUGCCCUGCUUCCAGGAAAAGCCUCUAAGCAUCAGGUAACAUCAAAUCGUACCCCAAACCGACACAGGUGGUCAGGUAGAGAAUACCAAGGCGCUUGAGAGAACUCGGGUGAAGGAACUAGGCAAAAUGGUGCCGUAACUUCGGGAGAAGGCACGCUGGUGUGUAGGUGAAGCCCCUGCGGGUGGAGCUGAGACCAGUCGAAGAUACCAGCUGGCUGCAACUGUUUAUUAAAAACACAGCACUGUGCAAACACGAAAGUGGACGUAUACGGUGUGACGCCUGCCCGGUGCCGGAAGGUUAAUUGAUGGGGUUAUCCGUAAGGAGAAGCUCUUGAUCGAAGCCCCGGUAAACGGCGGCCGUAACUAUAACGGUCCUAAGGUAGCGAAAUUCCUUGUCGGGUAAGUUCCGACCUGCACGAAUGGCGUAAUGAUGGCCAGGCUGUCUCCACCCGAGACUCAGUGAAAUUGAACUCGCUGUGAAGAUGCAGUGUACCCGCGGCAAGACGGAAAGACCCCGUGAACCUUUACUAUAGCUUGACACUGAACAUUGAGCCUUGAUGUGUAGGAUAGGUGGGAGGCUUUGAAGCGUGGACGCCAGUCUGCGUGGAGCCAACCUUGAAAUACCACCCUUUAAUGUUUGAUGUUCUAACGUUGGCCCCUUACCGGGGUUGCGGACAGUGUCUGGUGGGUAGUUUGACUGGGGCGGUCUCCUCCCAAAGCGUAACGGAGGAGCACGAAGGUUAGCUAAUCCUGGUCGGACAUCAGGAGGUUAGUGCAAUGGCAUAAGCUAGCUUGACUGCGAGCGUGACGGCGCGAGCAGGUGCGAAAGCAGGUCAUAGUGAUCCGGUGGUUCUGAAUGGAAGGGCCAUCGCUCAACGGAUAAAAGGUACUCCGGGGAUAACAGGCUGAUACCGCCCAAGAGUUCAUAUCGACGGCGGUGUUUGGCACCUCGAUGUCGGCUCAUCACAUCCUGGGGCUGAAGUAGGUCCCAAGGGUAUGGCUGUUCGCCAUUUAAAGUGGUACGCGAGCUGGGUUUAGAACGUCGUGAGACAGUUCGGUCCCUAUCUGCCGUGGGCGCUGGAGAAUUGAGGGGGGCUGCUCCUAGUACGAGAGGACCGGAGUGGACGCAUCACUGGUGUUCGGGUUGUCAUGCCAAUGGCACUGCCCGGUAGCUAAAUGCGGAAGAGAUAAGUGCUGAAAGCAUCUAAGCACGAAACUUGCCCCGAGAUGAGUUCUCCCUGAGACUUUAAGUCUCCUGAAGGAACGUUGAAGACGACGACGUUGAUAGGCCGGGUGUGUAAGCGCAGCGAUGCGUUGAGCUAACCGGUACUAAUGAACCGUGAGGCUUAACCUU